GUGAGGAAUAUUGGUCAAUGGGCGUAAGCCUGAACCAGCCAAGUAGCGUGCAGGAUGACGGCCCUAUGGGUUGUAAACUGCUUUUAUGCGGGGAUAAAGUGACGUACGUGUACGUUUUUGUAGGUACCGCAUGAAUAAGGACCGGCUAAUUCCGUGCCAGCAGCCGCGGUAAUACGGAAGGUCCGGGCGUUAUCCGGAUUUAUUGGGUUUAAAGGGAGCGCAGGCGGAGGCUUAAGCGUGACGUGAAAUGCCGCGGCUCAACCGUGGAAGUGCGUCGCGAACUGGGUUUCUUGAGUGAGUGCGACGUGUACGGAAUUCGUGGUGUAGCGGUGAAAUGCUUAGAUAUCACGAAGAACCCCGAUUGCGAAGGCAGUGCACGAGUCCUUUACUGACGCUAAAGCUCGAAGGUGCGGGUAUCGAACAGGAUUAGAAACCCGAGUAGUCC
RNAcentral lists this ribosomal RNA (445 nucleotides) under uncultured bacterium. RNAcentral describes it as "bacterial SSU rRNA". It matches the Rfam family "Bacterial small subunit ribosomal RNA", at positions 354 to 796 of the family's 1533-position model. The record is from RNAcentral.